Rhincodon typus (whale shark) is the source of this 562-nucleotide long non-coding RNA. RefSeq lists it as uncharacterized. The transcript has 3 exons. Lineage: Eukaryota; Metazoa; Chordata; Chondrichthyes; Orectolobiformes; Rhincodontidae. The record is from RefSeq and is a predicted model, not a curated record.
UCAACCUUUCACAAACAUUCCGGCAGCUAAUUAAGGAGUAGAGUCUGAAAAUCUAUGGGAAGAGACAUUAGCUCCUGUCUUCAAAAAAAUGGCUUUUGGUAAAGCGGAGAAAAGAGGAAAAUUAAAAACAGAUGUCUACGUAAAACUUACACCAAAGAAGCAGCCAUUUCAAUGGUUCAAUACUUUAAUUGACCCACCGUGUGGAUACUUGUGUAGUUUGGAAUCUGAGUGCAGUUCUGAUAUUUAAUGAAGCCUUGCUGCUUCAUAAGCCUGACAGCAGCUCCACUGAUCUACCAACAGGAACAACUGAUCUUCAUUGGGUAGUUGUCAAGUUAUCAAUGUUACUGAAAUAACUCCACAGAGACUGAUAUCCUGUCACCAAGUCACCCUUUGUUUACACGUGCACAGCACUUGGACUCUGACCAUCUAGCUGAGGGCCAGUCCCUAGGGUAAGGAGAAUCCAUGACACUCCUGUUUACAUCUGUCAGCCAUGACUCCCUGAUUGGCCCAGGUUACCAACACCAAUCAGGGAACUCAUACUCAAUGAGAUUCAAUUGGCAUA